This 384-nucleotide ribosomal RNA is filed under the name Pteropus fundatus. Its description in RNAcentral is "partial 12S ribosomal RNA". It matches the Rfam family "Bacterial small subunit ribosomal RNA", at positions 795 to 1382 of the family's 1533-position model. Lineage: Eukaryota; Metazoa; Chordata; Mammalia; Chiroptera; Pteropodidae. The record is from RNAcentral.
GCUAGCCCUAANCCUAAAUAGCCAAACAACGACGCUACUCGCCAGAGUACUACUAGCAAUAGCUUAAAACUCAAAGGACUUGGCGGUGCUUUACAUCCCUCUAGAGGAGCCUGUUCUGUAAUCGAUAAACCCCGAUAAACCUCACCAACUCUUGCUAAUACAGCCUAUAUACCGCCAUCUUCAGCAAACCCUAAAAAGGAAACAAAGUAAGCAAAAACAUAAAACAUAAAAACGUUAGGUCAAGGUGUAGCCUAUGAGUUGGAAAGAAAUGGGCUACAUUUUCUAGCAUAGAACAUUAACGAAAAUUUUCGUGAAACCGAAAAUAGAAGGAGGAUUUAGUGUAANUUAAGAAUAGAGAGCUUAAUNNAAUCAGGCCAUAAGCAC